GUAGGGAAUCUUCCGCAAUGGACGAAAGUCUGACGGAGCAACGCCGCGUGAGCGAAGAAGGUCUUCGGAUCGUAAAGCUCUGUUGUCAGGGAAGAACAAGUACCGUUCGAACAGGGCGGUACCUUGACGGUAUCUGACGAGGAAGCCACGGCUAACUACGUGCCAGCAGCCGCGGUAAUACGUAGGUGGCAAGCGUUGUCCGGAAUUAUUGGGCGUAAAGCGCGCGCAGGCGGUUCCUUAAGUCUGAUGUGAAAUCUCGCGGCUCAACCGCGAGCGGCCAUUGGAAACUGGGGAACUUGAGUACAGGAGAGGGGAGCGGAAUUCCACGUGUAGCGGUGAAAUGCGUAGAGAUGUGGAGGAACACCAGUGGCGAAGGCGGCUCUCUGGCCUGUAACUGACGCUGAGGCGCGAAAGCGUGGGGAGCGAACAGGAUUAGAUACCCUUGUAGUCC
This 451-nucleotide ribosomal RNA is filed under the name uncultured bacterium. RNAcentral describes it as "partial 16S ribosomal RNA". It matches the Rfam family "Bacterial small subunit ribosomal RNA", at positions 354 to 796 of the family's 1533-position model. The record is from RNAcentral.